Potamilus streckersoni is the source of this 76-nucleotide non-coding RNA. NCBI's taxonomy places the organism in Eukaryota, Metazoa, Mollusca, Bivalvia, Unionida, Unionidae. The record is from the annotation of a GenBank genome assembly.
GAAUCUCCAAUCGCCUAGUGGUUAGAACGUCCGCCUCGGAUGCGGGAGGUCGUGGGUUCGAUCCUCGUUUGAGUCA